Molecule: ribosomal RNA, 433 nt
Filed under: uncultured bacterium
Lineage: Bacteria
Description: partial 16S ribosomal RNA
Rfam family: Bacterial small subunit ribosomal RNA
Source: RNAcentral
AACGAACGCUGGCGGCAUGCCUAACACAUGCAAGUCGAACGAGACCUUCGGGUCUAGUGGCGCACGGGUGCGUAACGCGUGGGAACCCGCCCUUAGGUUCGGAAUAACUCCCCGAAAGGGGUGCUAAUACCGGAUAAUGUCUUCGGACCAAAGAUUUAUCGCCUUUGGAUGGGCCCGCGUUGGAUUAGCUAGUUGGUAGGGUAAAAGCCUACCAAGGCGACGAUCCAUAGCUGGUCUGAGUGGAUGAUCAGCCACACUGGGACUGAGACACGGCCCAGACUCCUACGGGAGGCAGCAGUGGGGAAUAUUGGACAAUGGGCGAAAGCCUGAUCCAGCAAUGCCGCGUGAGUGAUGAAGGCCUUAGGGUUGUAAAGCUCUUUUACCCGGGAUGAUAAUGACAGUACCGGGAGAAUAAGCUCCGGCUAACUCCGUG